Molecule: long non-coding RNA, 569 nt
Organism: Felis catus (domestic cat)
Lineage: Eukaryota; Metazoa; Chordata; Mammalia; Carnivora; Felidae
Exons: 3
Source: RefSeq, a predicted model, not a curated record
GAGUAGUAAACACACACUAACCCCUGAAUCCUCACCACCCGGGCCUUGCUAUCCGCACCUGUGCAGGUGGCCGAAGUGAGGCGCAGAGUAGAUCAGCAGACCACACCCGCGGUGGGAUCCAGGAUCAGCACACUUUACAAACAGCAGGCACACGCCCACUCCCGUGGCAAAGCCCGAGGAACCAAGGGGAGUUGACUUUGGAGACAGAUUUGCAAGAGACACCAAGGCAGCAAUGGAAGAAUCCACCUGAGAAAAACCUUCAUGGUUUCACACGUUCUGCCAGGGGAGGAGGAUGAGGAGAGCUGCAGAGAAGCCCUCCGUUAACCAGGUCUUCUCUGCAGCAGCCCUGUUCUAAGUGUUUAAUUGCGAGGAUUCAAUGCAGUGACCCACAAAUAGGAGUGAGACAGCACCCAGCGAGUUGAAAGCCCUCGGUUAACAUCAUUCAGUCCAGUGUAUGGGAACAGAUGGGACCAAUGGAGCUGAGAUUUGAACACAGGCCCUUCAGACACCAAGACAGACCGUGAGCAGGGGAGGGGCGGAGAGAGAGGAAGACAGAAUCCGAAGCAGGC